Molecule: ribosomal RNA, 1039 nt
Filed under: Nawawia filiformis
Lineage: Eukaryota; Fungi; Ascomycota; Sordariomycetes; Chaetosphaeriales
Description: SSU rRNA
Rfam family: Eukaryotic small subunit ribosomal RNA
Source: RNAcentral
GUAUAGCAUUAUACGGCGAAACUGCGAAUGGCUCAUUAAAUCAGUUAUCGUUUAUUUGAUAGUACCUUUCCUACUUGGAUAACCGUGGUAAUUCUAGAGCUAAUACAUGCUAAAAAUCCCGACUUCGGAAGGGAUGUAUUUAUUAGAUACAGAACCAAUGCCCUCCGGGGCUCUCUGGUGAAUCAUGAUAACUCCGCGGAUCGCACGGCCUUGCGCCGGCGAUGGUUCAUUCAAAUUUCUGCCCUAUCAACUUUCGACGGCUGGGUCUUGGCCAGCCGUGGUGACAACGGGUAACGGAGGGUUAGGGCUCGACCCCGGAGAAGGAGCCUGAGAGACGGCUACUACAUCCAAGGAAGGCAGCAGGCGCGCAAAUUACCCAAUCCCGACUCGGGGAGGUAGUGACGAUAAAUACUGAUCCAGGGCUCUUUUGGGUCUUGGAAUUGGAAUGAGUACAAUUUAAAUCCCUUAACGAGGAACAAUUGGAGGGCAAGUCUGGUGCCAGCAGCCGCGGUAAUUCCAGCUCCAAUAGCGUAUAUUAAAGUUGUUGAGGUUAAAAAGCUCGUAGUUGAACCUUGGGCCUGGCUGGCCGGUCCGCCUCACCGCGUGCACUGGUCCGGCCGGGCCUUUCCCUCUGGGGAACCGCAUGCCCUUCGCUGGGCGUGUCGGGGAACCAGGACUUUUACUCUGAACAAAUCAGAUCGCUCAAAGAAGGCUCUCGCUCGAAUGCAUUAGCAUGGAAUAAUGGAAUAGGACGUGUGGUUCUAUUUUGUUGGUUUCUAGGACCGCCGUAAUGAUUAAUAGGGACAGUCGGGGGCAUCAGUAUUCAAUUGUCAGAGGUGAAAUUCUUGGAUCUAUUGAAGACUAACUACUGCGAAAGCAUUUGCCAAGGAUGUUUUCAUUAAUCAGGAACGAAAGUUAGGGGAUCGAAGACGAUCAGAUACCGUCGUAGUCUUAACCAUAAACUAUGCCGAUUAGGGAUCGGACGAUGUUAUUUUUUGACUCGUUCGGCACCUUACGAUAAAUCAAAAUGUUUGGGCUC